This 467-nucleotide ribosomal RNA is filed under the name uncultured bacterium. Its description in RNAcentral is "partial 16S ribosomal RNA". It matches the Rfam family "Bacterial small subunit ribosomal RNA", at positions 28 to 506 of the family's 1533-position model. The record is from RNAcentral.
GACGAACGCUGGCGGCGUGCUUAACACAUGCAAGUCGAACGGAAAGGCCCUGCUUUUGUGGGGUGCUCGAGUGGCGAACGGGUGAGUAACACGUGAGUAACCUGCCCUUGACUUUGGGAUAACUUCAGGAAACUGGGGCUAAUACCGGAUAGGAGCUCCUGCUGCAUGGUGGGGGUUGGAAAGUUUCGGCGGUUGGGGAUGGACUCGCGGCUUAUCAGCUUGUUGGUGGGGUAGUGGCUUACCAAGGCUUUGACGGGUAGCCGGCCUGAGAGGGUGACCGGCCAAAUUGGGAAUGGGAAAAGGCCCAGACUCCGACGGGAGGCAGAAGGGGGGAAAAUUGAAAAAGGGGGGGAAGCCGGAUGCAGAAACGCCGGGGGGGGGAUGACGGCCUUGGGGUUGUAAACCGUUUUCGCCUGGGACGAAGGGGGAGGGACGGUAAUGGGUAAAGAAGCACCGGCUAAAUACGG